GGUGGUUUAUAUACCCCGGUACUCAUCGGGAGGGGGAGGCUAGUGCGGGAGGUGCAUUAAGGCCAAGGUUUACAGCCUAAAGAUGAGCUCGCGUCUGAUUAGCUAGUAGGUGGGGUAAAAGCCUACCUAGGCGACGAUCAGUAGCUGGUCUGAGAGGAUGAUCAGCCACACUGGGACUGAGACACGGCCCAGACUCCUACGGGAGGCAGCAGUGGGGAAUUUUCCGCAAUGGGCGAAAGCCUGACGGAGCAAUACCGCGUGAGGGAGGAAGGCUCUUGGGUUGUAAACCUCUUUUCUCAGGGAAGAAAAAAUGACGGUACCUGAGGAAUAAGCAUCGGCUAACUCCGUGCCAGCAGCCGCGGUAAUACGGAGGAUGCAAGCGUUAUCCGGAAUGAUUGGGCGUAAAGCGUCCGCAGGUGGCUGUGUAAGUCUGCUGUUAAAGAGCAAAGCUCAACUUUGUAAGAGCAGUGGAAACUACACGGCUAGAGUGCGUUCGGGGCAGAGGGAAUUCCUGGUGUAGCGGUGAAAUGCGUAGAGAUCAGGAAGAACACCGGUGGCGAAGGCGCUCUGCUAGGCCGCAACUGACACUGAGGGACGAAAGCUAGGGGAGCGAAUGGGAUUAGAUACCCCCGGGAAAGCANANCGNNNGGUUUAAAAAACGCGAAAAAGGGAAUAUANACCCCCCUUGUAUCANCAGGUCGGUGUAUUACCACUGUCAACUGCUGCCCNCCUCCCCUCCCCUAUGUCACCUCUCGUCCUCUUCUUCUCAUACACAAUACUUCGAUUGACUAUCCUUC
RNAcentral lists this ribosomal RNA (797 nucleotides) under uncultured Nostoc sp. RNAcentral's name for it is "bacterial SSU rRNA". It matches the Rfam family "Bacterial small subunit ribosomal RNA", at positions 158 to 1533 of the family's 1533-position model. Lineage: Bacteria; Bacillati; Cyanobacteriota; Cyanophyceae; Nostocales; Nostocaceae. The record is from RNAcentral.